This 487-nucleotide unclassified non-coding RNA is filed under the name uncultured fungus. Its description in RNAcentral is "partial contains small subunit ribosomal RNA, internal transcribed spacer 1, and 5.8S ribosomal RNA". The stretch from base 439 to 487 matches the Rfam family "5.8S ribosomal RNA", at positions 1 to 49 of the family's 154-position model. The record is from RNAcentral. Lineage: Eukaryota; Fungi.
ACAAACUUGGUCAUUUAGAGGAAGUAAAAGUCGUAACAAGGUUUCCGUAGCUCAAGUACGGGACAGCCCGGCCGCGAGGCCGGGGUGAUCCUUCCGCGUAACACUUGCCGAAGCCUUAGCAGCCCGAAAGGGUGCAUCCCACGACUAUAACCAGAGGAUGCUCAAAUGCUAGUCUGCUGUUGCAGGCGACACUGCCAAAUUGCGGGGACCCCCUAAAGACCUCAACACCAAGCGUCGCGGGAAACCGUGGCGUAGGUGAACCUGCGGAAGGAUCAUUACCGAGUUCGGUGCCCUCUGGGUGCCCACUCCCACCACAUGUGUACCUGUUCUGUUGCUUCGGCGGGGCGCGGUUCGCCCCUCUGGCUUCUGCUGGAGCGUCCCCGCCGGAGACCCUCAAACUCGAUUAAUUUGAUGUCUGAGCAAAACUUAAAAAAUCAAAACUUUCAACAACGGAUCUCUUGGUUCUGGCAUCGAUGAAGAACGCAGC